Molecule: non-coding RNA, 45 nt
Filed under: Schistosoma curassoni
Lineage: Eukaryota; Metazoa; Platyhelminthes; Trematoda; Strigeidida; Schistosomatidae
Source: RNAcentral
AUCCAGCUGACGAGUCACAAAUAGAACGAAACGCGCAUCUUGAAU